Molecule: ribosomal RNA, 475 nt
Filed under: uncultured bacterium
Lineage: Bacteria
Description: bacterial SSU rRNA
Rfam family: Bacterial small subunit ribosomal RNA
Source: RNAcentral
CUUUUUACACUCCUACGGGAGGCAGCAGUGGGAAUAUUGCACAAUGGGGGAAACCCUGAUGCAGCCAUGCCGCGUGUGUGAAGAAGGCCUUCGGGUUGUAAAGCACUUUCAGUAGGGAGGAAGGUAGUGUAGUUAACACCUUGCACUAUUUGACGUUACCUACAGAAGAAGCACCGGCUAACUCCGUGCCAGCAGCCGCGGUAAUACGGAGGGUGCGAGCGUUAAUCGGAAUUACUGGGCGUAAAGCGCAUGCAGGCGGCCUGUUAAGUCAGAUGUGAAAGCCCGGGGCUUAACCUCGGAAUUGCAUUUGAAAACUGGCAGGCUAGAGUCUUGUAGAGGGGGUAGAAUUUCAGGUGUAGCGGUGAAAUGCGUAGAGAUCUGAAGGAAUACCAGUGGCGAAGGCGGCCCCCUGGACAAAGACUGACGCUCAGAUGCGAAAAGCGUGGGGAGCAAACAGGAUUAGAUACCCUGGUAG